AAGUCGAGCGGACAGAAGGGAGCUUGCUCCCGGAUGUUAGCGGCGGACGGGUGAGUAACACGUGGGUAACCUGCCUGUAAGACUGGGAUAACUCCGGGAAACCGGAGCUAAUACCGGAUAGUUCCUUGAACCGCAUGGUUCAAGGAUGAAAGACGGUUUCGGCUGUCACUUACAGAUGGACCCGCGGCGCAUUAGCUAGUUGGUGGGGUAAUGGCUCACCAAGGCGACGAUGCGUAGCCGACCUGAGAGGGUGAUCGGCCACACUGGGACUGAGACACGGCCCAGACUCCUACGGGAGGCAGCAGUAGGGAAUCUUCCGCAAUGGACGAAAGUCUGACGGAGCAACGCCGCGUGAGUGAUGAAGGUUUUCGGAUCGUAAAGCUCUGUUGUUAGGGAAGAACAAGUGCGAGAGUAACUGCUCGCACCUUGACGGUACCUAACCAGAAAGCCACGGCUAACUACGUGCCAGCAGCCGCGGUAAUACGUAGGUGGCAAGCGUUGUCCGGAAUUAUUGGGCGUAAAGGGCUCGCAGGCGGUUUCUUAAGUCUGAUGUGAAAGCCCCCGGCUCAACCGGGGAGGGUCAUUGGAAACUGGGAAACUUGAGUGCAGAAGAGGAGAGUGGAAUUCCACGUGUAGCGGUGAAAUGCGUAGAGAUGUGGAGGAACACCAGUGGCGAAAGCGACUCUCUGGUCUGUAACUGACGCUCAGGAGCGAAAGCGUGGGGAGCGAACAGUAGGUGGCAAGCGUUGUCCGGAAUUAUUGGGCGUAAAGGGCUGGCAGGCGGUUUUUUAAGUCUGAUGUGAAAGCCCCCGGCUCAACCGGGGAGGGUCAUUGGAAACUGGGAAACUUGAGUGCAGAAGAGGAGAGUGGAAUUCCACGUGUAGCGGUGAAAUGCGUAGAGAUGUGGAGGAACACCAGUGGCGAAGGCGACUCUCUGGUCUGUAACUGACGCUGAGGAGCGAAAGCGUGGGGAGCGAACAGGAUUAGAUACCCUGGUAGUCCACGCCGUAAACGAUGAGUGCUAAGUGUUAGGGGGUUUCCGCCCCUUAGUGCUGCAGCUAACGCAUUAAGCACUCCGCCUGGGGAGUACGGUCGCAAGACUGAAACUCAAAGGAAUUGACGGGGGCCCGCACAAGCGGUGGAGCAUGUGGUUUAAU
RNAcentral lists this ribosomal RNA (1157 nucleotides) under Bacillus sp. (in: firmicutes). RNAcentral's name for it is "bacterial SSU rRNA". It matches the Rfam family "Bacterial small subunit ribosomal RNA", at positions 59 to 950 of the family's 1533-position model. Lineage: Bacteria; Bacillati; Bacillota; Bacilli; Caryophanales; Bacillaceae. The record is from RNAcentral.